Molecule: ribosomal RNA, 372 nt
Filed under: uncultured bacterium
Lineage: Bacteria
Description: bacterial SSU rRNA
Rfam family: Bacterial small subunit ribosomal RNA
Source: RNAcentral
GAUGAACGCUGGCGGCAUGCCUUACACAUGCAAGUCGAACGGCAGCACGGGGCAACCUGGUGGCGAGUGGCGAACGGGUGAGUAAUGCAUCGGAACGUGCCAUUGAGUGGGGGAUAACGUAGCGAAAGUUGCGCUAAUACCGCAUAUUCUGUGAGCAGGAAAGCAGGGGACCGCAAGGCCUUGCGCUCUUUGAGCGGCCGAUGUCAGAUUAGCUAGUUGGUGAGGUAACGGCUUACCAAGGCGACGAUCUGUAGCGGGUCUGAGAGGAUGAUCCGCCACACUGGAACUGAGACACGGUCCAGACUCCUACGGGAGGCAGCAGUGGGGAAUUUUGGACAAUGGGCGCAAGCCUGAUCCAGCCAUGCCGCGUGA